CCAACUGGGAUCGAUCCCACAGAUGACCCACUUCCCAAGCAAAGUCAGCAGGUGUUUCAGCAGCAUGGAAGUAUCUUGGAGAAUUAUGAGACAGUGGAUGAGAAUAAGGAUGGCCAUCAUCACAA
Molecule: long non-coding RNA, 125 nt
Organism: Arvicanthis niloticus (Nile rat)
Lineage: Eukaryota; Metazoa; Chordata; Mammalia; Rodentia; Muridae
Source: RefSeq, a predicted model, not a curated record